RNAcentral lists this ribosomal RNA (485 nucleotides) under uncultured bacterium. RNAcentral's name for it is "partial 16S ribosomal RNA". It matches the Rfam family "Bacterial small subunit ribosomal RNA", at positions 30 to 507 of the family's 1533-position model. The record is from RNAcentral.
UUGAACGCUGGCGGCAUGCCUUACACAUGCAAGUCGAACGGCAGCACGGGUGCUUGCACCUGGUGGCGAGUGGCGAACGGGUGAGUAAUACAUCGGAACAUGUCCUGUAGUGGGGGAUAGCCCGGCGAAAGCCGGAUUAAUACCGCAUACGAUCUACGGAUGAAAGCGGGGGACCUUCGGGCCUCGCGCUAUAGGGUUGGCCGAUGGCUGAUUAGCUAGUUGGUGGGGUAAAGGCCUACCAAGGCGACGAUCAGUAGCUGGUCUGAGAGGACGACCAGCCACACUGGGAUUGAGACACGGCCCAGACUCCUACGGGAGGCAGCAGUGGGGAAUUUUGGACAAUGGGCGAAAGCCUGAUCCAGCAAUGCCGCGUGUGUGAAGAAGGCCUUCGGGUUGUAAAGCACUUUUGUCCGGAAAGAAAUCCUUGGCCCUAAUACGGUCGGGGGAUGACGGUACCGGAAGAAUAAGCACCGGCUAACUACGUG